RNAcentral lists this ribosomal RNA (433 nucleotides) under uncultured bacterium. Its description in RNAcentral is "partial 16S ribosomal RNA". It matches the Rfam family "Bacterial small subunit ribosomal RNA", at positions 29 to 507 of the family's 1533-position model. The record is from RNAcentral.
AACGAACGCUGGCGGCAUGCCUAACACAUGCAAGUCGAACGAGACCUUCGGGUCUAGUGGCGCACGGGUGCGUAACGCGUGGGAACCUGCCCUUAGGUUCGGAAUAACUCCCCGAAAGGGGUGCUAAUACCGGAUAAUGUCUUCGGACCAAAGAUUUAUCGCCUUUGGAUGGGCCCGCGUUGGAUUAGCUAGUUGGUAGGGUAAAAGCCUACCAAGGCGACGAUCCAUAGCUGGUCUGUGAGGAUGAUCAGCCACACUGGGACUGAGACACGGCCGAGACUCCUACGGGAGGCAGCAGUGGGGAAUAUUGGACAAUGGGCGAAAGCCUGAUCCAGCAAUGCCGCGUGAGUGAUGAAGGCCGUAGGGUUGUAAAGCUCUUUUACCCGGGAUGAUAAUGACAGUACCGGGAGAAUAAGCUCCGGCUAACUCCGUG